AAUCACGAGUUCCCGCCAUUCACGACCCUGGUCGGCGGGACGGCAACCCUCUUCGUCAUAGCGGGGUGCUCCAGGUGAAGAUUCGACGCCGCCCGACCGGGCCGGCGUAAGUAUGGCGC
Molecule: non-coding RNA, 119 nt
Organism: Arthrobacter sp.
Lineage: Bacteria; Bacillati; Actinomycetota; Actinomycetes; Micrococcales; Micrococcaceae
Source: Rfam